RNAcentral lists this ribosomal RNA (970 nucleotides) under uncultured bacterium. Its description in RNAcentral is "bacterial SSU rRNA". It matches the Rfam family "Bacterial small subunit ribosomal RNA", at positions 8 to 1004 of the family's 1533-position model. The record is from RNAcentral.
AGAGUUUGAUCAUGGCUCAGCCUGAACGCUGGCGGCGUGGCUAAGACAUGCAAGUCGCACGGUGUAGCAAUACACAGUGGCGAACGGGUGAGUAAUGAAUCGCUAACGUACCCCGGACUCUGGGAUAGCUAGCCGAAAGGUUAGGUAAUACCGGAUAAUAUAUCCUGCUCGCAUGAGUGGGAUCUCAAAGGUCCGCCGGUCUGGGAGCGGGCGAUUUCGUAUCAGCUAGUUGGUGAGGUAACGGCUCACCAAGGCGAUGACGCGUAGCCGGACUGAGAGGUUGGCCGGCCACAUUGGGACUGAGACACUGCCCAGACUCCUACGGGGGGCUGCAGUAACGAAUCUUCCGCAAUGCACGCAAGUGUGACGGAGCGACGCCGCGUGUGGGAUGAAGUUCUUCGGAAUGUAAACCACUGUCAGGGGUAAGAAAGUUCUGAUCUACCCCAGAGGAAGGCACGGCUAACUCUGUGCCAGCAGCCGCGGUAGGACAGAGGUGCCGAGCGUUAGGCGGAAUCACUGGGCUUAAAGCGUGUGUAGGCGGGUCGUUAAGUGCCUUGUGAAAUCCCACGGCUCAACCGUGGAACUGCUGGGCAUACUGGCGAUCUUGAGCAACCUAGGGGCAGUCGGAACAAAUGGUGGAGCGGUGAAAUGCGUAGAUAUCAUUUGGAACGCCAAUGGUGAAAACAGACUGCUGGGGGUUUGCUGACGCUGAGACACGAAAGCCAGGGGAGCAAACGGGAUUAGAUACCCCGGUAGUCCUGGCUGUAAACGAUGUCAACUAGAUCGCGGUGGCUCUGACGCCAUCGCGGUCGAAGCAAAAGUGCUAAGUUGACCGCCUGGGAAGUACGGUCGCAAGGCUAAAACUCAAAGGAAUUGACGGGGCUCACACAAGCGGUGGAGCAUGGUGGUUCAAUUCGAAGCAACGCGCAAGAACCUUACCUGGGCUUGACAUGCUUGGGAUUAUUCUCGA